GAGGUCACUUUUCAUUUCUUCAUAUCAAAGGCAGGCACUUGUUUCUAAUAAGUUAACAACUCUCCUGAGAAACGUGGGUGGCUGGUAUUUCAUUGUUUCAUAAAUAUUUUUAUACUGGUAACACCAUUCAACUUAAAACAGAUUUCAAGAGGAGAAAAAUCACGACUAGGACCGCGUUCAACAGAGUGCACUUCCUUUGAAAGCGCUCCUCUGCGAACAAAGGCUGCCACCGGCCCUCCGCACCAGCGCCGGGGACAGCUGUGCGAUGGAGCUCUUCAAAACCUCGCCGAGAGAAGAAAAAAAAAAAACCCUGCGGUUCCUACCGAAAGGAAGUUUUCCAGGGACAAUCUCCUCGGUGUUGCUGUAACUGCGACUUUGUCUUUUUUGGAUACAAUGUUUCUGCUGACUCCCGAAAAUUUUCCACUUGAAUGUGCAAUUAACCAGCAGCGGCGGCAGCAGCAGCUCUGGAGAAGGAGAAGAAGCAGCGAAAAAGGACAUUCCUUCUUUCAUCUUUCAGAGGAAAAUAAAAGAGGGGAGGGAGGCAAAACUGGGGGCAGCGCGGCGAGCGGAGCUCCGCGCCAGGCCGGGCCGCCCGGGGAUGGCUCCUGAGCGCUGCGAGCUCUGCGCCCAGCCCGGGGCUGCUCGCGGCUUUCCUGCUUCCCCGCGUUAAAAAAAAAAAAAUGUGAAAAAU
Long non-coding RNA from Corvus hawaiiensis (hawaiian crow), 691 nucleotides. RefSeq lists it as uncharacterized. Lineage: Eukaryota; Metazoa; Chordata; Aves; Passeriformes; Corvidae. The transcript has 2 exons. The record is from RefSeq and is a predicted model, not a curated record.